AGAAUAGCGUCGAUGUCUGCUGGAUAUUAUACGGAAUUGGUAUCGAUCGAGUAUUCAUUGCAAAAGUUUCGGUAUCAAGAAUUAAUAAGGAAGUAUAGCUCAACAAGUUUAAUAGGGUCCCUAAAGGAGUGGUCUGAGCGUCGUGGGUCGAGUGAAGGGAAUGGGAACGAACUACCUCGGUUCUACCUCGGUUGAGCAGAAGAUUCCCUAGAGAUAUUUCACAUUGGCAGAGUUCCAAGCGAUUCUCGUAAAAAUAUUCCACGUUCUAUUAGUUUUAACGAGUAUGCAUUUUAAAUAAGAACCACAGACACUCCAUAUGAAAUUCUUCUUAAUCACUUCACGUCCUCGUGGUCCAUCGCUUCGUUCUUGAUGCAUAUGGGUAUCACAGAAUUUGUAUCGUUAAUACAGUAUACUAACUGUUCGUUAUUUGUAUGGAUUAUUAGUAUUAUUUAUAGGAGAAAAGUAAUGGUGCUUGAGAAAGAUGUUGUACAUAAAUGGUCAUGAUACGUGAAUGUAUAUGAUAAAUGCUUAUAGAUAUACGUGCAUGUACUAUAUGUAUGUGUAAAUAUACGCAGAUAAUCUAUGUACUAAACUGUAUUUAUAUGUACAUAUACGUACUUGUUACAGAUACUUAUUUAUAUGGAUAUAUUCAUAACGAAUGUCUUAAUAUCAAUAAUAUCGAAUUGGCAUUAAUGGUGUAAUAGAUCAAUGGGAAACAAAGUCUGAUUAGUAGUAAGCAAUCGUAUAGCAAAGGUAACCAACCUAACCAACAUAACAUAAAUAGAACGAGAAGCUUUUCUCGAAGCCAGGAUAAAGAGAAUAUAAAAAAAAUCUCGAUGUAGGUAAGACGAGGUCAACUUGUUGAGCUAUACCUAAAUAUUUUGCUACCUUUCGACGCGUUUCCUGUGAAGUACUCGAGUGUCGAAUUGCUUGGACAUCAGUUGUAAGUAAUCGUAUCAGUCCCAUCGCUACCAAUGCGUCUCCUCUGCCUCGUUCUCUUUCUCCUCAUUCCUUUUGGUCUUCGGUUCCAAACUCUUUCUCCCAUUCGUUUCCUUCGACCCCGUAUCCUUUGGCACGGCAGGGUGAGUUCGGGAACCGUCAUUGAGCACUUCGUCGAUCAGACCGGCGACCAGGUGGGCCAGGCCCGAGGCGAGCUGAUCAAGGCUGAGGAGUAUCGGAGCGAAGCUCGUGAAGAAAUUGUACUUCAUCAUAAUCUGCGUCUUAAUAUUGGCCGUGAUAUUAAUCUCCAUCAUAAUAGCUUGCGUUCCAACUGGUAGCUAAAGAGCCGUGCAUUACGUAUGAAAGAAGUGGGGGAAUGUUCAUCUUUUCGUGGGACACGUGGUAGAAAAAACGUUUGCGACCGACUCGUUGAGGGAAAGGGAUAGAAUUACGAUAGAAACAGAGACGGGCAAAAUUUUUACCCAUACGAUAAUCUCGUAUAACGAAUAAAAAAAAAAAAUAAAGGAACAAUCUUUUAUUCGUUACUCGUCGAUUAGAGGCUAGAAUCUAUAUUAUAGAACGAGAUAUUUCACAAUGAACGAAUGAAAGUUUCACUGUUCGUUCGAAUAAACGUCACGAAUAAAUCGCUACUCGUUGGUUUCAUUCGUCGCCUGUUAUUCGAAGAAAAUUUUGCCGAUCUCUGGAUAAAAGGAAGGGAGGAGGAUAGUUCGAAGCGGAAAGAAGAGUUAGACGCGUCUUGGUACUGUACGAAGAGAAAAAGAUCAGUCCUGUAGAGUAACAGAGAUGGGCAAACUUCUCGCCCAGAUAACACGUCUGAAUAACAAAUAGAAGGUAAGCUACCUUGUAUCCUUUACUGACUGGAUAGAAAAUAGAAUUUGAAAUAUAUAAUAAAUGUUGCUGUACGUUGUCUGUCGUCUAAAUAAAAUGUUGCCAAUCUCCGGUGAGUAGGAUGCAGGAGGAUAAAGAUCCUCGAGUAAUGCUUAGUUGCAGGUCUCUCGAAGACUGAUUGUAAAGUUUAGGCCAAUUUUAGAAGGAAUUCCUUCCAGGACUGAUCUUUCCUUCUCCCCGCAAUACAUCUAUUAGCAGGAAAUACUCGACCACGCAUCCACUUCAGCAUAGUCAACCAGCUAGCAGCACCGGUUUUCGCUAUCCUCCUCUCGGGCACCAGUUUUUCUCGACUUCUAACCUCUAUCUCCGAAGCAACUUGUUCGUUAACACAAUAACUCAUUAAUAGAAACUAAUUUGUUCUACUAACGCGGCCAGUUUGCACGUCGAAUGCACCAGGCGUACAUUGGUUCAUCUUGUGUGACUAUUGACCAGACUCUUGUGUGACUACCGACCGACCAGUCGUGUCGUUUCUCUCGUUAGCUCGUUAGUUAAGCUCGAGACGAGUAAAAUUAUUUUCUGGAUAAACAAUAAACGCAGAAAGGUAGCAUUCAAAUUUUUUCAUUUGUUAUUUGAAAAGACUGCGAUGCUAGAGUACUCCGCAGUAUCGACUGAAUAGUUUUGAAGGAGGUCGGUAAGAUGGAGUACUCUGUCGGUCAUGUAGCGGAGAUUUCUUUACAUUACCGACAGAGCACUUUAUCGAUUGGAGAGCUCUUUCGUAGUAUUCUGUCGGUAAACGUCACGCUUGACGAACGCUACAAAUGCAUAGAACCCGCAUUCACAGGUCCAGCAAAUAAUUUAAUCGACACGGGUAGAAGAUGAUGAAUUCAAAGAAAAUUCUGUCCAUCUCCGAUGGCCAACGCGUAGUCUCGAAAAUCAAGACAGACGAGAGCAAAGACCGCGGUCGAUUCGCCAAGUACCUUGCCGAUCACGAUCUUUCAACUUGUGUUACCAGUGCCAGCGCUGGCAAUGGUUCUGGUACCGGUGUGAGUGGUUCGUACAAACUUCGAUGGGUAACAUCCAACCAUGCCAACGAGAACAUCAUGGUCUACCACGAAGUUCGAGUCUCUUUCUACGAGAUCCUUUUACUUGGUCGCAGCCACGCACGUGUACCAAUUCCAGAGCGCGAGAUCGCGCGUUCCUCCGAGUGAUCGCAAUAUUGUACUUUGUUCGCAGAAAUUGAUGUUCAUCGUAAUUUGCCUGACACUAGUGUUCAUCAUUUUCAUAAUCAUUCUGGUGUACGCGUUGUAAGAAGAUCGAGGGUCGAAUACGAGAGCAUUUCAGGGAAUAGUGCACGAGAGGCGAUCACGAGAGACGAGCCAAGGAAUACGUGAACACGGGUUUUCCCUCGCGAACAAACUCCGUGGACGGAUUUUCUGCGAUCGUAUUCGAUCGAUCCCGAGUAGCGCCAAAGAAUAGAAGACAAACGAGUUGUGGAGGACGGUGACGGAGGAGUUAAAUGAAGAAAGGUGGAAGUACAUGACGAGAAAGGAGUGUCUAGUUCCGCACGGGGAAUACCCGUCCCAAUCGAGUUCCGUUUUUAUCGACAAACUGCAUCACUGUCUCCGUUGAUCGUUGACCCGGCACGUGCUCGAGCGACUUUUCGCUGUCCUUUGUUUUCAUAUCCGUUUCCAAGUUCUUAACAUGGAAUUACCGCGAGAAUUUAUAAUACGUUCGCACACGAGUACCCGCGUCGAAAGAGUGUAUACGUAACUGUGGUGUUAGAGCUGCUCGAGAUCUCUCGACUAGACGUAUUGGAAAAUUCCUAACGAUCUGGACGAGACACAGACUCGUAUGAUUUGUACAGAGGGAUUCUUAACACGUUGCCAACCGAUCGGGGAAAUUCUCCAGUUUUCGUCGUGCUGCAUUGCGCGCUUAUAGGCAUACAGAAUAAGCGUGUGUACGCCAACUGCAGGCGAUCUAAAAUUAAAGAUAAUAUUGACACGGAAGUAGAUAUGGAUCUCGAGCAGCUUUACGCAGGUAUAUUACCAUAGUCGACUCGAAGGGCGACCGGCAUACACGAAUCAAUACGAAACCGAUGUGUCGCCAUGAUUCCGAGUAAUUGCCUCGCGAUGCCCGAAGCGUAUAUUUGUUGUAUUUCCGUCGCGAGCGAUCGCAAUCUCGCUCGUCGGCGUGUAUUAUGUAAAUAAUUGCAUUUGUAUAGAACAGGUAAUAAUAUUUAAAAUUACGAACGGUCAUGUUGCGAACCGUUUUGAUUCCUUGUUGAGAGCGCAGUUUAGAGUGAUAGAGUAAACGACUCGAGGAGUCGAUUGGCUGUCGCGAACGUUCCGUUCGAAUCGGUUAAUGGUACGAUGAAUCGAUGAUCCAACGAUUCGAAGAUAUGGACAGAGAUUGGCAGGCGCGCGCGCACACACGCAGAGAGGCACUAGCUGCGAUUCGAGAAGGACCGAAAAAAGGUACGCGAAGGGAAGAUGAACGCGUACGCAAACGACGCAACGUGGCUCGUAGCGUAGCAGACUGAUGAUAACCGUAGCGGAUAACCGCGAACGGUAGGACCGUACGCCAUCGCGUUACGUACUUCGUUUGUAAUCCAUAAUUGUAUUUUUGCCGAUCCGUUGAUGCCGAGUGCAGAAGAAGAUCAUGAUCAUGAUCUGCGUCGCUAUACUCGUCGUCAUUCUGGCCACCAGCGUCGCUGGAUACUUUGGACUGUGAACGCCGAAAUCAGAACAGUCCAAAAGCGUCGCCGUCGUGUACGCGAAUGCGAGCCGUCGGCAGCAACUGUAUCCAGGCAAGUCGGCCCGAAACGUAAGAAAUCUCGCCGUUUCAAAGUCGAACAAUCGCCGUCGUCGGCGUGGUCGACAUUGGCUGCAUCGACGAUCCGGUCGCAGCAGUCAUCCACGGUUACGGCUACGAUCUCGGCCGCGGCGUCGUCGACGAGCAUCCCGUCGACGCUCGACGUACCUCGUCCCGCCGAUCGUCGUUGAACUCGUCCUCCUGCUCCUCGCAUUCCGCCUACGCAAGCACCGGGGGAACACAGCCAGAACAACGAGACCAGCUCGGAGGACGAAGAAACGCCGUCGCCUGCUGCCGCUGUCGUUGUUUGCACGAUCGUCCUCUGUCGCUGUCGCUGUGCCGGCAUCGACGAGAUCGCUAUAAUCCCGGUUACGUUUCGUUCGGCUUCCAACGAACACCGUUUCACGGACAGUUUCGUUGGCCAGUCUCGUUCCGUUCCGCGAGCGUCGCCACCUUUUUCACCGAGACGUAAUAUCCCACCGUACAUCGUCGAUCCGAUUCGCGGUCUUGCUAUCCUUCGCGAUAUAUCUCUUAUCCUAGUUUACACCGUAUUUUUGAUACGCCCGAGGUAGCACGCGAUGACCGACAACACCGAAACUACUCCUACUGUAUCAAGCUGGUACCAAAUGUAAGGAUGGAGGACGUGUCAUAUGCCUGACAUCUAAAACACGCGUGGAAAUGUGUACAAGGAAAAUGCGUAUUAGUUUCUCGAAAGUUCUAAUUUACAGACAUAAGAAUUACUAACUCAAGUUUAGUUUAAUUCGUUUAGUUUAAUUAUACUACUUUUGUGGUAGAUGAUUGUUUAUCCCCAACUAAACAGAAGGAUUAGUCCGUCUUUUUCGUCACGUAAGGCCAUAACGAACUUAUAUCAAGGUUUUUUUACGGUAUUGUAUCAACUUGAUACACCGAGUGUUUGGUACGCAUCGAGUACUAAGUAAGUGUAUCGAAUGCACGGCGUAAACUAGGUAUAAUAAUUAUCUCGAAAUAUUAACACCCCUACCCCCCCCCCCCCCCCCUCCCUUUGCCCCAUUAUAAACAUUAGACAGAUUUCCACUUGUUUCCGGAUCAUCGAGAGAUUCCGCUAGAAGCGACGAAAACACGCGAGGAUGGGCAAACCGCGAUCGGAAAAACUCGUGUUUAUACGUCGCAAAGGGGAGGAGGAGGGGAGAGUGGUAUCACGCGUCCGCUGGUUGGAUCAGUCUAAGGCGUUAUUCCCUCGAGUGAACGACGCUGUUAUGUUCUCGGUCGAGAGAAUAACGCGAAAAGGUCGCACGAAACGAAUCCGAGUCCGCGAAUCACGCGUACCAGGGCUGUCCGGCCUACGAGAUGAAAAGAAACAGUAUUCGAAGCAACUGCCUGCGUCCCAUCGUGAAUAACAUAUAGCUGGCCAUCGAUAAUCGCGAACGUAACGUGUAUCAACGUAUCCCGUUCCUAGCCAAGUCUGAAACCCAAUGGAAUUUCUCUGUAACGCGGGGCUACCGAGCGAUUCUCUCGUUCGUCGCGUCGGAUCUAGCUCUGGUAGCUGCGUCAAACUCUGACUAACCCACCCAAGUGCAAUCUUUUCACUGUGAUUUUACAACGAGCUUGGAAAUCGGUUCUUCGCUGAUUCUCGUGCGCGCUUGAGAAAUAAUUGAUCGCUUUCAUCGACCUGCAGCUGGUUGGAAAGUAUCUGACUGUGCUUGUCGCAAACGCUGCGCAAUUACUCGUGGAAUCGUAAGUUGAUGUGUCGUUUUUCAGAGUUAACCUUAUCUGACUAUUUAUUGGCUGUUAGUUUUGUUCGAUUAUUUAUUAAGCAUUUAUCACGGUUAUUGAUUGUUUAGUAAUUAUAAUCAAGGAUGGCAUUUCGUUCGGUACAGUCCACGGCUUCGUGGAAUGUAGUAGUACUUCGAUCGUCACUUAGGUGGCGCGUCUCGUCUUUGAUCAAAGAUGGCGGCCUUCGUGUUCUCGCAGAAGCUACAGGUUUUCGUCUCUGAGAGUGUAAUCAAGUUUUUUUUUUUUUUUUCAACGUAUUGCACACAGUCACUAGCAAACAUAUCAGAUUAUUCGAAGCGUAUCAUCUUCCACGCUAGACCUCUCUACAACGAAACAACGGUGAAUCGAUUAUGAAUAAUGGAGGUAACGAAGGCGGACAAAGUAAUUGUCCCGCUCUGGGUAAUAUAAGAUGAUGAGGUUAGAUGAUUCAGACUGUAUGUUAUGACACUUACGCGGUCCUCGCUCAACAUAUCAUAGGGACUGAUGACG
Hylaeus anthracinus is the source of this 6840-nucleotide long non-coding RNA. RefSeq lists it as uncharacterized. The transcript is spliced from 4 exons. The record is from RefSeq and is a predicted model, not a curated record. NCBI's taxonomy places the organism in Eukaryota, Metazoa, Arthropoda, Insecta, Hymenoptera, Colletidae.